RNAcentral lists this ribosomal RNA (425 nucleotides) under uncultured Leptolyngbya sp. Its description in RNAcentral is "bacterial SSU rRNA". It matches the Rfam family "Bacterial small subunit ribosomal RNA", at positions 355 to 795 of the family's 1533-position model. The record is from RNAcentral. Lineage: Bacteria; Bacillati; Cyanobacteriota; Cyanophyceae; Leptolyngbyales; Leptolyngbyaceae.
UGGGGAAUUUUCCGCAAUGGGCGCAAGCCUGACGGAGCAAGUCCGCGUGAGGGAGGAAGGCUCUUGGGUUGUAAACCUCUUUUAUCAGGGAAGAAGAUCUGACGGUACCUGAUGAAUCAGCAUCGGCUAACUCCGUGCCAGCAGCCGCGGUAAUACGGAGGAUGCAAGCGUUAUCCGGAUUUAUUGGGCGUAAAGCGUCCGCAGGUGGUUUUACAAGUCUGCUGUUAAAGCGCAGGGCUUAACUCUGUAACGGCGGUGGAAACUGUCAGACUAGAGUAUGGUAGGGGUAGCGGGAAUUCCCAGUGUAGCGGUGAAAUGCGUAGAUAUUGGGAAGAACACCAGCGGCGAAAGCGCGCUACUGGGCCAUUACUGACACUCAUGGACGAAAGCUAGGGGAGCGAAAGGGAUUAGAUACCCCUGUAGUC